Molecule: unclassified non-coding RNA, 1415 nt
Filed under: Hevea brasiliensis (rubber tree)
Lineage: Eukaryota; Viridiplantae; Streptophyta; Magnoliopsida; Malpighiales; Euphorbiaceae
Source: RNAcentral
CAAUGCGAUAUGUAUAAUACAUUGAUAAACCAAGCUGCAUUCAAUCCAAACAAUCCAAACAAAGGGAAGGGGUUACAGUCAAUUCAAGGAAGAGCAUGAAAGGAUCUUCAAUUGUAAAAAAUAUAACAUCUUCAUUUGCAAAGCUAAAUCGGUAGGUUGAGUGAAAUAAACGGAAAAUGCACUCGGUUCCUGCUUUUGCACUACAUAAAAUGUCAAUAUACCAAUUAUAAGGGCGGGGAUAGAAGAUUACAGCAUGCGCACAUUGAUUUUUCCAUGUGCAUCAUGAAACUUGUGAUCUGCAAAGCAAGAAGAUGGUCCAACAAACACUAGCUGUGUCCAGAAGUGGAGACCUCUGUGCUGCAGACGGGGCAAACCUUGUUUAUUUUCAACCAAUCAUUUAGGCACUCUGAAUGGUAGGAAUGUUUGCAAGAAAGCACUGUCAGGGUGUCACCAUCAUCGUAAUCUAAACGACAUAUGACACAGGAAUCAUUGCUUCCAUUCUGAAUGCUUCCAGCCUCGUAGUUUACUGAAGGCAAAGAGGCAAUUGUAUCAGCUGAAAGCCCUCUACUCUCAGUUCCAACAACUUCACCCAAUGCAAGCAACUCCUCAUAUGAAAGUUCAUCUGGAUCAACCUCCUCCCAUGCAUCCUGAGAGUUACCACCAUGAUCCUCAGUGUCCUCAACUUCUCGGUCAUCUAUUCCAGCAAGAGCUAACAGUCUAGCCGCCAUUUCUCUUUCUUCAGCAUCCUGUAAUGCUCUAGCAUAGGCCUCAUCACUAGAAAACAUAGAAGGGUCAAGAUCAACGCCAGGAACAUUAUCAGCUCCAGCAUCAGCAUGAGCAUGUACAUCAAAUGCAUCCAUGCCAUCAUCUGCAUCCGUGCCAUCAUCAUCCUCAUCCUCAUCUUCCUCCACUCCUUCAUUGUCAUCAGUAGGAUCACCAAAAUCAUCCUCAUCAUCAUGCAAGUAGCUUCCAGCUUCCCAACUUCCAUAAUCACUUCCGUCAUUGUUCAGUCUCAACAUCAUGUAUGCUCUUUCCUGUUCUUGAAGGGUUCGGGCAAGAGCAAGGUCAGCAUCGACCUGACUGAGAUUAGUGAAGGGAGUUCUUCUGGAAGAGUGACGAGGAGGCUGGGGUUCCUCUUGGUCUCCAUUAUCAUUUGCAAAACCUAAAUUAAGGUUGUGUUCCCGCUCUUGUUCUUGUUCCCUGCUGCUGCCAUUGUUGUUAGCGAUACUCUUUGCUUCUCCUGAACCCAAUUUGACAUUGUUCUCCAUAUAGUAUUGUGUGGGCUUUGGUGGUGAUUCGAAGACGCUCUUGGGUUUACAAGCUUUUGAAAUGGAUCGAUUUUUCUUUCGCGUUUGAUGGAAUACAGAAUGAUUCAGGAAUCAAAAAGAUGUUAGAGAGAAAGAGGGAGGAAAAUU